Molecule: non-coding RNA, 85 nt
Organism: Ornithorhynchus anatinus (platypus)
Lineage: Eukaryota; Metazoa; Chordata; Mammalia; Monotremata; Ornithorhynchidae
Source: Rfam
ACUUAUUACGCUCUAGCAGCACGUAAAUAUUGGUGUAGUGAAGUCUUAAACCCCAAUAUUAUUGUGCUGCUUUAGCGUGAUAGGG